This 61-nucleotide transfer RNA is filed under the name Magallana gigas (Pacific oyster). RNAcentral's name for it is "Crassostrea gigas (Pacific oyster) tRNA". It matches the Rfam family "tRNA". Rfam says of the family: Transfer RNA (tRNA) molecules are approximately 80 nucleotides in length. The record is from Rfam by way of RNAcentral. Lineage: Eukaryota; Metazoa; Mollusca; Bivalvia; Ostreida; Ostreidae.
GUCUCAAUAGCUCAGUGGUUAAAGCGCUGGCAUGGUACGCCAGAGGACACUGGUCGAGACU